RNAcentral lists this non-coding RNA (24 nucleotides) under Rattus norvegicus (Norway rat). Lineage: Eukaryota; Metazoa; Chordata; Mammalia; Rodentia; Muridae. The record is from RNAcentral.
CAGGAGGCCUGAUUUUAAACACCC